This 177-nucleotide unclassified non-coding RNA is filed under the name soil metagenome. RNAcentral describes it as "partial internal transcribed spacer 1". The record is from RNAcentral.
CCGAGUGCGGGCCCUCGUGGCCCAACCUCCCACCCUUGUCUCUAUACACCUGUUGCUUUGGCGGGCCCACCGGGGCCACUUGGUCGCCGGGGGACAUCUGUCCCCGGGCCCGCGCCCGCCGAAGCGCUCUGUGAACCCUGAUGAAGAUGGGCUGUCUGAGUACUAUGAAAAUUGUCA